CUGUUGCUAGAUUUAUGUCAUAUCUAAAACAGAUCCACAUGGAUGAUAUUAUUUUGAUCAUUAAAAGUUUAAUUAGGAUUAAUUUUGAUAUUUUUACUGGUGCCUUUGCUAUUUAAUAUUAACAAGUUAUUAAGCAUAUAGGAAUUUUCAUAGAUACAGUAUUGCCAAACUUGAUCCAUUAUAGCCCACGGAUAGUGCAAUCAUAAAAGAUUCCCAAAAGGUGAUCCAUAUCCAUUACUACAUUAGUUUCAUAUGUAAAAAGGAAAUAUACUAAAUAAUUAUAUUAAUUUGAUAAAAGAUAUGUAUGAUAUAAUGAUUUGUAGUAUUAGGAUUGUACGUUAGUAAUAAACAAAUGUUCUUGUCAUAGGUGGAAAAUAUCCCCAUGAUUUAUGUUAUGUCAUGCAUCGCAUUUUAGGUUAAGAAGAAUCAUGACCAAAUACAUGAAAUAUAAUCUUUGAAAUACUAUUAAAAAAUAAGGAUGUAUUUUAAAUAGAUGAAUAAAAAAAUAUUGUAAUAUUUUAGUUAUCUUGGAUGCAUCAUUCGACAAAAAAAAAAAAUAAUAUUUUUAAAAGUGCUGGGAUUAAAAAAUUAAUAUUUUUCGAAGGUUAGAAAUAAGAUUUAAUAAAAUAAAAGAUUAAAAAAUAAAUAAAUAUUGCUCUAAUAGAGAAUAAAAUGAAAAAAAUAUAUCAUGUAACAAAAUAUUCAAAGAAAACUAGUAUUUAUUGUGGUUAGAUGAUGCAAGUUGAUUAGGAUUAAUAAGGUGAGAAGAGUGAGUUCACUAGGAACAAUAAAAAAAAAUUAUUUAUAUAGAGUUCAACAAUUCGAAGGAAAAAUAAGGUUGUUAUAUAGAGGUGAGGUAAUAAUGACGAGACUCCCAUGAGUCUUUCUUGACUACUCCAACCCUAGAGUUGGUGAAAAACUUUCAAAUCAUGUAGUAAAUCAAGAUAACUAUACGCAAACGAUUGAGGGUUAGUGACCAAUGAUUGUAUUAUAGGCGAAUAAAAUAUCGAAUGACUAGAAAUUUUAUCUUCAUAAUUUUAGAGAAAUCAUCAAAUCCAAAAGUAAUAUACAAAUCUAGGGAGUUAUGGAAUCUCACUAAAGCCAAUGAGUAUAGAGGAGAUCAGUUGGAAGUCAUUUACGCUUAACCCCGAUCUUUAAGAAAGCAUCAUAGUAUAUGAUAUGUUGGCAGAACUUCCCGUGUCUACUAAAAUUCUUUUUAUCAUUACAUUGGUGAUCUUGAGGUGACCACCAUAGCAUCAUUAUGAUGAGGAUCAAUGUGCUCAAUCUCUUCUUCCUUAAACACAAUCGGAGGAUCUCCUAAGGGGCAAAAUCUUUUAUAUGGAGGGUCCCUGACAUAAUUAUUUUUGGAUGUGGAAUUGGUUCUCUAAAUAUGGGUCCACCUAACACUCAAUUGAGCUUUGCGGGAAAGGCUCUCGCACCUUAUGUAAGUAAUGAUUAAGCUUCCCCUUCUAGAUGAGCUCCUUGAUCUAUAAUUUUAAAUCAUAAUAAUCUUUUGUGUCAUGCCCAUAAUCUUGAUAUGAGUAAUAGUAUUUUGAAUGGCUUAGACGAGUUGAAGGAUCCCGUUAAGAGUGGCGGGUGUGAAGAAACCUCUUCUCUUUUAUCUGCACGAACACUUCGGUAUGCAACGUAUUUAGUGGCGUAAAAUCUCUACAAGGGGGUGCCCAAUCAAGCCUUGGUUUGUCAUUAUAGGGGGCACUCCAAAUUGCCCACUCAUGAACUCCUCUCCUUGAGACUUUCUUAGGUUCAGAGUUCCUUUUUCCUAUAAUUAUGGAUUAUACUAUGAUAUAACGAUUGGUCUCCUGCAGGAGCUCUAGAAAAAUGGUCAGCAGUUGUAUGAUAACUAAAUAAAAGAACUUCAAAAGUUGAUAAUUGUCGAUAUAAGCGUUAAUCAGAACAGAUGGAUUUAGGUGAGCCACCGGUCUAACUUCAUCAUGAAAUCUUUUUGUAUAACUAGCGAGGAACUCCUUGUUCAUUUGUUGAAAUUCUAAGAGCAAGAUAGUUGGUUUCUCUUAGAAAUAGUUGGUUUCUUUAGUAUCUUAUAGCAAAUAAAAUUAAACUAAAUCUCUUUUACUAGUUAUCCAAAAGAUGAGAUGAAUUUAGGUGAAAACUUUGAAAACCAUUUCCUUGCUACACCGCUAAGAGUGGUUGGAAAAGUUUAGCACAUAAAAGAGUUGCCACCUAAAAUAAUGUCAGCCUUGGAAGUUGGAAUAGACUCUUCCAUGCUCUUGACAAUUGGGGACUUAAGAUAGGUGUCAAUUUCAGGUUACUUUUCCUGUCUUAUAUCUCUUUUAAUAUUCUCGAGCCAUUGACCUUAGCAUCCUAGUCUGGUUGAGGAGGUGGAACUUUUAGGGGGUGAAUUAGAGAGCAAAUUUCUGGUUGUGGCUCGACCAUCGGUGGGCCUGACUCUGCCAUCAUGCUAGGGGUAAGGAUGAGUGGAAGCACUAGAGUAAGGAAAUGAGGGGUAUGGGGAUUUUAAUGUGUUCCUUACUACAAUAAUUAGGUUCGUUAGGAGAGAUAUAGAGCAAGAGACUAGAAUACCCCUAUCAAGAACUAGACUUGCUAAGUUAGACUAUAAAACGUACUAAUAGGAAUGGUGAUAGUUUGGGCAAAUGGAGCUGCAGGUUGGAAAAGAGGUGGGUUAAUUGGUGGAUCCUAGAAUAGUCAGCAAAAAAGUUGGCAAUUAGAAAGUUAUAGGAUAGGAGUAUGAUCAAACCCUUGGAGAACCGAAACCAAGGGGUUUGAUAAAGGAGCAUUCGACGCCAUCGAGCUCGGCCCUCUUGGAUCGUUAAGUAUAUUUAAUUGGUUAGCCUCAUCCGAGUUUGACUUUAAUGGUCUCGUAAAAUUUUCUCGAGACAUGCUUAGCAUCCCUCCUUCUAAUACUAAUCUAUUAAGUCAGAUUUUGAUUGUCCAAGUUGGAGAGAUGAGUCAAAUCCAACUAAGGCUUAUUCCAAGAUUAUCUAGUUUUUUACUUAAGAUUCGAUGAUGCAUAAUCUUGCAAGACUAAGUUAGGGAUAUUUUCGAAAAUGAUUUUUUCGAUAAUCAAAUCAGUUCCCAAGGUUAAAAAGCCUAAGACUAUUCAGAUCAAACGGAUUGGGCAAAUUAAUCAACAAGACAAAAAAGGUGAAUUUUCAAAAUGUAUAUCUUGGGAGUCUCUUUUAUAAGUGGUUUGGGAAUCAUUACAUUCAAGAUCAUUGGGCAUUAAGAAACCAUGUAUGAUUAAUUAAGUUUAUAUGUCUUCCAAUUCGACUAUCACUUGUCGAUAGAACGAUAAGUUAUUAGGAGGAUCAACUUGUUAACUAGGUUUUGACUUGUCAAUGUCUUCCAAACAUAACAUGUACCUUAAUCUAUAUUAAGUGGAUUGGGUUGAUUUAAGAGUUUAGUAAUCAAUUAUCGGCUUAAAUUCAGGUAUAUCAUAUUAAAAUUAGAUUAGACUCAAAUUUGGUUCAUUAUCCAAACACUAAAAUGCUUUAGCAGCUUAAAUCAUUUUCAAUCAUAUCGUUAGAACACACUGCAUCAUCUCUUUAUAGUGUAAUAAAAAUAAUAACCAAAAUUCUGAUCCAAAAUAAUUUUCUUACAGGGGACAUCAUUGCACCAAUAGAAAAUAAAAAUAAGAAAUAGCUUAUCCCAGCAUGUAACAACUGCUUCAAUGCAAUCAUAUAUAUAUAUAUAUAUGUAUAUAUAUAUAUAUAUAUGUAUGUAUGUAUGUAUAUAUAUAUAUAUAUAUGUAUGUAUGUAUGUAUGUAUGUAUAUAUAUGAUCUGUAGGGAGCCGGAGAGCCGAGGAGCACGACGCAGGCGGGCAGGCCGCGCAGGCGUGGUCUCGGGUGGCGUAAAGCCGGAGAGCCGAGGAGCACGACGCAGGCGGGCAGGCCGCGCAGGUGUGGUCUCGGGUGGCGUAAAGCCGGAGAGCCGAGGCAGGCCGCGCAGGUGUGGUCUCGGGUGGCGUAAAGCCGGAGAGCCGAGGAGCACGAUGCAGGCGGGCCGCGCAGGCGUGGUCUCGGGUGGCGUAAAGCCGAAGAGCACGGUGCAGGCGGGCAGGCCGCGCAGGCGUGGUCUCGGGUGGCGUAAAGCCGAAGAGCCGAGGAGCACGACGCAGGCGGGCCGCGCAGGCGUGGUCUCGGGUGGCGUAAAGCCGGAGAGCCGAGGAGCACGAUGCAGGCGGGCAGGCCGCGCAGGCGUGGUCUCGGGUGGCGUAAAGCCGGAGAGCCGAGGAGCAUGACGCAGGCGGGCAGGCCGCGCAGGCGUGGUCUCGGGUGGCGUAAAGCCGGAGAGUCGAGGAGCACGACGCAGGCGGGCAGGCCGCGCAGGCGUGGUCUCGGGUGGCGUAAAGCCGGAGAGCCGAGGAGCACAACGCAGGCGGGCAGGCCGCGCAGGCGUGGUCUCGGGUGGCGUAAAGCCGGAGAGCCGAGUAGCACGACGCAGGCGGGCAGGCCGCGCAGGCAUGGUCUCGGGUGGCGUAAAGCCGGAGAGCCGAGGCAUUCGGCGCAGGCAGGCUGCGACCGAGGGGUUGCUGCUCAGGCGGGCAGGCCGCGCUGAGGUGGGCUCGGCGCAGGCAGGCUGCGCAAGGGGCCGAGGUAGCGUAGUGCUUGCUGCGCAUGGGGCUCAGGGGCCGAGGCAGCGUGUUGGCUGAGCAUGAGGCCGAGUGGCCGAGGCAGCGAGGCCGCUUGCUGGCUGCGAACGAGGCCGAGGGGCCGAGGCAGCGUGUUGGCUGCGCAUGAGGCCGAGUGGCCGAGGCAGCGAGGCUGCGUGCUGGCUGCGCACGAGGCCGAGUGGCCGAGGCAGCGAGGCAGCAAGGCAGCGUGUUUGCAUGAGGCCGAGUGGCCGAGGCAGCGAGGCUGCUUGCUGGCUGCGCAUGGGCCAAGUCUCUCAAACGACGCCAUAUCUCUCCUUAUGCAUGGGCCAAGUCUCUCAGGCGACGCCAUAUCUCUCUUUAUGCAUGCUGUGGCCGAGGAGCUACUUGUGCAUGCAUAGAGGAAGUCUCGGGCAAGCCAUGGCCGAGGAGGUCUCGGGUAGGCUGUGGCCGAGGAGCUCUCGGGCAUGCUAUGGCCGAGGAGGUCUCGGGUAGACUGUGGCCGAGGUGUUCGGCGCGGGCAGGCUGGUCGCGCGCGUGGGACCGAGGGGUCGAGGCGCUUGUGGCCGAGCAGCCGAGACGCGCGGGCUGGUCGCGCGCGUGGGACCGAGGAGCCGAGGCGCGCGGGAUGGCCGCGCGCGUGGGGCCGAGUGGCCGAGACGCUCGGCGCGGUCGGGCUGGCCGCGCGCAUGGGACGCGGGCGGUUUGGCCGCGCGCGUGGGACGCGGGCGGUUUGGCCGCGCGUGAGGCGUGCGGGUUAGCCGCGCGUGAGGCGUGCGGGUUGGCCGCGCGCGUGGGACCGAGGGGCCCAGGCGGUGGGAUGGCCGCGCGCGUGGGGCCGAGUGGCCGAGACGCUCGGCGCGUUCGGGCUGGCCGCGCGCGUGGGACGCGGGCGGUUUGGCCGCGCGUGAGGCGCGCGGGUUGGCGCGACCCACGCAUCCCUUGCUUGCUUGCUUGCUUGACGAAAGCGCGAAGCAGAGCUACGGGACGGACCCCACGUCUGGAGGAAAUGGACCAUAAAUGUAAGGCUGUGGAGAGGAGAAAGACAUCUCAGAGUGCGAGAACGAGCAGUGUCAGUGGUGAAGAAAAGAAGAAGGGAAGAAGAUUACGGUGCUAUUAUGCUCUUCGUCUCCGAUCUUCCUCGCUCGAGCCUCUUCGCACCCUCGAAAGGACUCAAGAAGUCAUGUGCUUGCAAAGUUGCAGUCAGCACUGGUGGCAAAUUCAUCUAUACGAUUUUCUGUUAAGUACCCUUUCUGCUGCCCGCAUAGGUUGUCCAUAAAUUUGAAG
Musa acuminata AAA Group (dessert banana) is the source of this 5876-nucleotide RNA transcript. It is a transcript of the gene named cell division control protein 2 homolog, with no coding region annotated. The transcript has 2 exons. The record is from RefSeq and is a predicted model, not a curated record. Lineage: Eukaryota; Viridiplantae; Streptophyta; Magnoliopsida; Zingiberales; Musaceae.